GGAGGAGUGGCUCGAGAGGUUUAAGGCACCGCUCUUGAAAAGCGGAAACCGGGUAACUGGUUCGUGAGUUCGAAUCUCACCUCCUCCGCAA
This 91-nucleotide transfer RNA is filed under the name Candidatus Nomurabacteria bacterium RIFCSPLOWO2_01_FULL_42_17. Its description in RNAcentral is "tRNA-Ser". It matches the Rfam family "tRNA". From Rfam's summary of the family: Transfer RNA (tRNA) molecules are approximately 80 nucleotides in length. Their secondary structure includes four short double-helical elements and three loops (D, anti-codon, and T loops). Further hydrogen bonds mediate the characteristic L-shaped molecular structure. tRNAs have two regions of fundamental functional importance: the anti-codon, which is responsible for specific mRNA codon recognition, and the 3' end, to which the tRNAs corresponding amino acid is attached (by aminoacyl-tRNA synthetases). tRNAs cope with the degeneracy of the genetic code in two manners: having more than one tRNA (with a specific anti-codon) for a particular amino acid; and 'wobble' base-pairing, i.e. permitting non-standard base-pairing at the 3rd anti-codon position. The record is from RNAcentral. Lineage: Bacteria; Candidatus Nomuraibacteriota.